CACGUAGGGGGCGAGCGUUAUUCGGAAUUAUUGGGCGUAAAGGGCGCGUAGGCGGCUAGACAAGUCAGGGGUGAAAUCCCUCGGCUCAACACAGGAACUGCCUUUGAAACUGUCUGGCUUGAGGACGGGAGAGGGUGGUGGAAUUCCCAGUGUAGCGGUGAAAUGCGUAGAUAUUGGGAGGAACACCAGUGGCGAAGGCGGCUCGCUGGACUGUUUCUGACGCUGAUACGCGAAAGCGUGGGUAGCAAACAGG
RNAcentral lists this ribosomal RNA (253 nucleotides) under uncultured bacterium. RNAcentral's name for it is "partial 16S ribosomal RNA". It matches the Rfam family "Bacterial small subunit ribosomal RNA", at positions 524 to 776 of the family's 1533-position model. The record is from RNAcentral.